UACGAAGGGGGCUAGCGUUGCUCGGAAUUACUGGGCGUAAAGGGCGCGUAGGCGGGUACUUAAGUCAGAGGUCAAAUCCCAGGGCUCAACCCUGGAACUGCCUUUGAUACUGGGUACCUAGAGUUCGGGAGAGGUGUGUGGAACUCCGAGUGUAGAGGUGAAAUUCGUAGAUAUUCGGAAGAACACCAGUGGCGAAGGCGACACACUGGCCCGAUACUGACGCUGAGGCGCGAAAGCGUGGGGAGCAAACAGG
RNAcentral lists this ribosomal RNA (253 nucleotides) under uncultured bacterium. RNAcentral describes it as "partial 16S ribosomal RNA". It matches the Rfam family "Bacterial small subunit ribosomal RNA", at positions 524 to 776 of the family's 1533-position model. The record is from RNAcentral.